This 343-nucleotide unclassified non-coding RNA is filed under the name soil metagenome. RNAcentral describes it as "partial contains 5.8S ribosomal RNA, internal transcribed spacer 2, and large subunit ribosomal RNA". The stretch from base 1 to 120 matches the Rfam family "5.8S ribosomal RNA", at positions 35 to 154 of the family's 154-position model. The record is from RNAcentral.
GAUGAAGAACGCAGCGAAAUGCAAUAAGUAAUGUGAAUUGCAGAAUCCAGUGAAUCAUCGAAUCUUUGAACGCACAUUGCGCCCGCCAGCAUUCUGGCGGGCAUGCCUGUUCGAGCGUCAUUUCAACCCUCGACCUCCCUUUGGGGAAGUCGGCGUUGGGGACCGGCAGCACACCGCCGGCCCUGAAAUGGAGUGGCGGCCCGUCCGCGGCGACCUCUGCGUAGUAAACCAACUCGCACCGGAACCCCGACGUGGCCACGCCGUAAAACACCCAACUUCUGAACGUUGACCUCGAAUCAGGUAGGACUACCCGCUGAACUUAAGCAUAUCAAUAAGCGGAGGA